GCCCCGGUGGGUGUAGUGGUUAUCAUACCGCGAACUAGUAUUCUCGGGAAGACGUGGGUUUCGAAUCCUGCUUAGGGUA
Molecule: non-coding RNA, 79 nt
Organism: Desmophyllum pertusum
Lineage: Eukaryota; Metazoa; Cnidaria; Anthozoa; Scleractinia; Caryophylliidae
Source: the annotation of a GenBank genome assembly